AAAUUGAAGAGUUUGAUCAUGGCUCAGAUUGAACGCUGGCGGCAGGCCUAACACAUGCAAGUCGAACGGUAACAGGAAGCAGCUUGCUGCUUCGCUGACGAGUGGCGGACGGGUGAGUAAUGUCUGGGAAACUGCCUGAUGGAGGGGGAUAACUACUGGAAACGGUGGCUAAUACCGCAUAACGUCGCAAGACCAAAGAGGGGGACCUUCGGGCCUCUUGCCAUCAGAUGUGCCCAGAUGGGAUUAGCUGGUUGGUGAGGUAACGGCUCACCAAGGCGACGAUCCCUAGCUGGUCUGAGAGGAUGACCAGCCACACUGGAACUGAGACACGGUCCAGACUCCUACGGGAGGCAGCAGUGGGGAAUAUUGCACAAUGGGCGCAAGCCUGAUGCAGCCAUGCCGCGUGUAUGAAGAAGGCCUUCGGGUUGUAAAGUACUUUCAGCGGGGAGGAAGGUGUUGUGGUUAAUAACCGCAGCAAUUGACGUUACCCGCAGAAGAAGCACCGGCUAACUCCGUGCCAGCAGCCGCGGUAAUACGGAGGGUGCAAGCGUUAAUCGGAAUUACUGGGCGUAAAGCGCACGCAGGCGGUCUGUCAAGUCGGAUGUGAAAUCCCCGGGCUCAACCUGGGAACUGCAUUCGAAACUGGCAGGCUUGAGUCUUGUAGAGGGGGGUAGAAUUCCAGGUGUAGCGGUGAAAUGCGUAGAGAUCUGGAGGAAUACCGGUGGCGAAGGCGGCCCCCUGGACAAAGACUGACGCUCAGGUGCGAAAGCGUGGGGAGCAAACAGGAUUAGAUACCCUGGUAGUCCACGCCGUAAACGAUGUCUACUUGGAGGUUGUGCCCUUGAGGCGUGGCUUCCGGAGCUAACGCGUUAAGUAGACCGCCUGGGGAGUACGGCCGCAAGGUUAAAACUCAAAUGAAUUGACGGGGGCCCGCACAAGCGGUGGAGCAUGUGGUUUAAUUCGAUGCAACGCGAAGAACCUUACCUGGUCUUGACAUCCACGGAAGUUUUCAGAGAUGAGAAUGUGCCUUCGGGAACCGUGAGACAGGUGCUGCAUGGCUGUCGUCAGCUCGUGUUGUGAAAUGUUGGGUUAAGUCCCGCAACGAGCGCAACCCUUAUCCUUUGUUGCCAGCGGUCCGGCCGGGAACUCAAAGGAGACUGCCAGUGAUAAACUGGAGGAAGGUGGGGAUGACGUCAAGUCAUCAUGGCCCUUACGACCAGGGCUACACACGUGCUACAAUGGCGCAUACAAAGAGAAGCGACCUCGCGAGAGCAAGCGGACCUCAUAAAGUGCGUCGUAGUCCGGAUUGGAGUCUGCAACUCGACUCCAUGAAGUCGGAAUCGCUAGUAAUCGUGGAUCAGAAUGCCACGGUGAAUACGUUCCCGGGCCUUGUACACACCGCCCGUCACACCAUGGGAGUGGGUUGCAAAAGAAGUAGGUAGCUUAACCUUCGGGAGGGCGCUUACCACUUUGUGAUUCAUGACUGGGGUGAAGUCGUAACAAGGUAACCGUAGGGGAACCUGCGGUUGGAU
RNAcentral lists this ribosomal RNA (1532 nucleotides) under Salmonella enterica subsp. enterica serovar Cerro str. 5569. RNAcentral's name for it is "bacterial SSU rRNA". It matches the Rfam family "Bacterial small subunit ribosomal RNA". Lineage: Bacteria; Pseudomonadati; Pseudomonadota; Gammaproteobacteria; Enterobacterales; Enterobacteriaceae. The record is from RNAcentral.